UACGUAGGGGGCAAGCGUUGUCCGGAAUCAUUGGGCGUAAAGAGCGUGUAGGCGGUUCGGUAAGUCGGCUGUGAAAGUCCAGGGCUCAACCCUGGGAUGCCGGUCGAUACUGCCGGACUAGAGUUCGGAAGAGGCGAGUGGAAUUCCCGGUGUAGCGGUGAAAUGCGCAGAUAACGGGAGGAACACCUAUGGCGAAGGCAGCUCGCUGGGACGUUACUGACGCUGAGACGCGAAAGCGUGGGGAGCAAACAGG
Molecule: ribosomal RNA, 253 nt
Filed under: uncultured bacterium
Lineage: Bacteria
Description: partial 16S ribosomal RNA
Rfam family: Bacterial small subunit ribosomal RNA
Source: RNAcentral